GGCAUUUCUGUGAAUGCAGCUUCCUAAAAACAGCACCAAAAUAUACAAAUAUUGUCUGCAUGCUCAAAACCGCAGCCGUAAUCAAAUACAACCCAUUCCCUCUGUAUUCCCAAAGCCCUGACUCCCACCCCGUUCCUUGGAUGCUAGAAUACAGCCAUUACAGGGACACUCCACUGCCCAAAUACAACAUGAAUAAAAGUCACUGUUGAGUAGAUAAACCCCAAAUGAAACCUUGCAUGCAUUUAAUUAUGCAUUUUGUCACAGGGGAGGAGAUCUAAAACAGCUUGCAAAACCUGCAGAUCUCUUGUCCGCAGCAUUUGUAAGCCCUCCCCUUAGAAACCUGCCCAGACUUUUUUGUGCCCGUCCAAUCACAGACUUCCAAAUGCAGCUCUUGGAAGGCAGGUGCUCUGGGCAAUUGCUGCCUCUUGGGUUUAGCUCUACUCAGCUAACCAAACCAGGAAGUAACAGGGUCUGUUGUCUGAUUGAAAGCUAGGAAGUUAAACAAAGUUUAUUUUAUAAAUGUUUUUACUGAAAUCAGCACUAUUUGUAAAAUUAAGACGGCAUGCUCUUCACACAUAAAGUGUUUCAGCAAGCUAAAGUGCUAUAGGGAUCUGGAGAGUCCCUUUCAGUUUGACCUGUCCAGGUAUUUGUAGAGAGUGGAAGAAUAAAGUGGGUGUAAUUUAUAGUCCCCUAACAGAGAUGCAAAUGGACAGA
Molecule: non-coding RNA, 714 nt
Organism: Pelobates cultripes (western spadefoot toad)
Lineage: Eukaryota; Metazoa; Chordata; Amphibia; Anura; Pelobatidae
Source: the annotation of a GenBank genome assembly